This 254-nucleotide ribosomal RNA is filed under the name uncultured bacterium. Its description in RNAcentral is "partial 16S ribosomal RNA". It matches the Rfam family "Bacterial small subunit ribosomal RNA", at positions 524 to 776 of the family's 1533-position model. The record is from RNAcentral.
UACGUAGGGUGCGAGCGUUGUCCGGAAUUACUGGGCGUAAAGAGCUCGUAGGUGGUUUGUCGCGUUGUUCGUGAAAACCGGGGGCUUAACCCUCGGCGUGCGGGCGAUACGGGCAGACUUGAGUACUGCAGGGGAGACUGGAAUUCCUGGUGUAGCGGUGGAAUGCGCAGAUAUCAGGAGGAACACCGGUGGCGAAAGGCGGCACUCUGGGACGGUACUGACGCUGAUGCGCGAAAGCCAGGGGAGCAAACGGG